AAGGAAUAGAAAUGGAAGAGUUAGAGGCAGUGUUAUGCUAGAGCUGUCCCUUAGCGAGCUGAUUUUAAAGCUUGAAAUCGGCCAUGGAUAAAUUCCCAGAAGUGGAAGACAUUGCCAAGUUUUUCUUCAGAAAGAUGG
Molecule: long non-coding RNA, 138 nt
Organism: Homo sapiens (human)
Lineage: Eukaryota; Metazoa; Chordata; Mammalia; Primates; Hominidae
Product: long intergenic non-protein coding RNA 2276
Source: Ensembl